RNAcentral lists this ribosomal RNA (641 nucleotides) under Streptomyces sp. KLBMP 1064. Its description in RNAcentral is "bacterial SSU rRNA". It matches the Rfam family "Bacterial small subunit ribosomal RNA", at positions 100 to 755 of the family's 1533-position model. Lineage: Bacteria; Bacillati; Actinomycetota; Actinomycetes; Kitasatosporales; Streptomycetaceae. The record is from RNAcentral.
GAACGGGUGAGUAACACGUGGGCAAUCUGCCCUUCACUCUGGGACAAGCCCUGGAAACGGGGUCUAAUACCGGAUAACACUCUGUCCCGCAUGGGACGGGGUUGAAAGCUCCGGCGGUGAAGGAUGAGCCCGCGGCCUAUCAGCUUGUUGGUGGGGUAAUGGCCUACCAAGGCGACGACGGGUAGCCGGCCUGAGAGGGCGACCGGCCACACUGGGACUGAGACACGGCCCAGACUCCUACGGGAGGCAGCAGUGGGGAAUAUUGCACAAUGGGCGAAAGCCUGAUGCAGCGACGCCGCGUGAGGGAUGACGGCCUUCGGGUUGUAAACCUCUUUCAGCAGGGAAGAAGCGAAAGUGACGGUACCUGCAGAAGAAGCGCCGGCUAACUACGUGCCAACAGCCGCGGUAAUACGUAGGGCGCAAGCGUUGUCCGGAAUUAUUGGGCGUAAAGAGCUCGUAGGCGGCUUGUCACGUCGGAUGUGAAAGCCCGGGGCUUAACCCCGAGUCUGCAUUCGAUACGGGCUAGCUAGAGUGUGGUAGGGGAGAUCGGAAUUCCUGGUGUAGCGGUGAAAUGCGCAUAUAUCAUGAGGAACACCGGUGGCGAAGGCGGAUCUCUGGGCCAUUACUGACGCUGAGGAGCG